GGGUGCUAUACAUGCAGUCGAGCGAACGGAUAAGGAGCUUGCUCCUUUGAAGUUAGCGGCGGACGGGUGAGUAACACGUGGGUAACCUACCUAUAAGACUGGAAUAACUUCGGGAAACCGGAGCUAAUGCCGGAUAACAUUUGGAACCGCAUGGUUCUAAAGUAAAAGAUGGUUUUGCUAUCACUUAUAGAUGGACCCGCGCCGUAUUAGCUAGUUGGUAAGGUAACGGCUUACCAAGGCAACGAUACGUAGCCGACCUGAGAGGGUGAUCGGCCACACUGGAACUGAGACACGGUCCAGACUCCUACGGGAGGCAGCAGUAGGGAAUCUUCCGCAAUGGACGAAAGUCUGACGGAGCAACGCCGCGUGAGUGAUGAAGGUUUUCGGAUCGUAAAACUCUGUUAUUAGGGAAGAACAAAUGUGUAAGUAACUGUGCACAUCUUGACGGUACCUAAUCAGAAAGCCACGGCUAACUACGUGCCAGCAGCCGCGGUAAUACGUAGGUGGCAAGCGUUAUCCGGAAUUAUUGGGCGUAAAGCGCGCGUAGGCGGUUUCUUAAGUCUGAUGUGAAAGCCCACGGCUCAACCGUGGAGGGUCAUUGGAAACUGGGAAACUUGAGUACAGAAGAGGAAAGUGGAAUUCCAUGUGUAGCGGUGAAAUGCGCAGAGAUAUGGAGGAACACCAGUGGCGAAGGCGACUUUCUGGUCUGUAACUGACGCUGAUGUGCGAAAGCGUGGGGAUCAAACAGGAUUAGAUACCCUGGUAGUCCACGCCGUAAACGAUGAGUGCUAAGUGUUAGG
RNAcentral lists this ribosomal RNA (800 nucleotides) under Staphylococcus sp. JSM 102087. Its description in RNAcentral is "bacterial SSU rRNA". It matches the Rfam family "Bacterial small subunit ribosomal RNA", at positions 44 to 827 of the family's 1533-position model. The record is from RNAcentral. Lineage: Bacteria; Bacillati; Bacillota; Bacilli; Caryophanales; Staphylococcaceae.